AUGGCGUCGGGUGGAGAUCUCCCAUCCGGGUUCGCUGAUGAGAGCAAAAGUACAAAAACAGAAGGAUCAUCCAACGAAUGUCAAGGGGUCCCUCCAGCUGCCGCUGCAGGCUUGUCGGGUCCUUUCGAUUUUUCUUCUAUGCAAAGUUUGCUCAAUGAUCCAUCUAUAAAGGAGAUGGCGGACCAGAUUGCAAGGGACCCUGCAUUCAAUCAGAUGGCUGAGCAGCUACAGAAAGGUGCUCAGACUGCAGGAGAACAGGGCAUGCCUCCAUUGGAUCCUCAUCAAUACAUGGAAACAAUGCAAAAGGUCAUGGAAAACCCUCAGUUUAUGACAAUGGCAGAGCGCCUCGGGACUGCUCUUAUGCAGGAUCCUACUAUGUCCAGUAUGCUGGAAAAUUUGACUAGUCCAACACAUAAGGAGGAGCUUGAAGAGCGCAUGUCUCGGAUUAAGGAAGAUCCAGCCUUGAAGCCAAUUCUUGAUGAGUUAGAGAAUGGUGGUCCUGCUGCAAUGAUAAAGUACUGGAAUGACCCUGAAACUCUUCAAAAGAUUGGCCAGGCAAUGGGAACUACCAUGCCGUUUAGCACUGUCUCUACUGCUGAACCUUCUGGUACUGAAGAAACUGAAGAAGAAGGUGAAGAUGAAGACGAAUCCAUUGUCCACCACACUGCCAGUGUUGGUGACGGUGAGGGUCUGAAGAAGGCUCUAGAUGGUGGAGCAGACAAGGAUGAAGAAGACUCUGAGGGAAGAAGGGCCUUGCACUUUGCAUGUGGAUAUGGUGAGUUCAAGUGUGCGGAAAUCCUCCUUGAGGCGGGUGCUGCUGUAGAUGCCAUGGAUAAGAACAAGAACACCCCACUGCAUUACGCUGCUGGCUAUGGCCGGAAAGAGUGUGUGGAUCUUCUGUUGAAGCACGGUGCUGCUGUCACUCUCCAAAACAUGGAUGGGAAGACGCCCAUCGACGUCGCCAAGCUCAACAACCAGGACGAGGUCCUCAAGCUGCUCGAGAAGGACGUGUUCCUGUAA
This 1020-nucleotide ribosomal RNA is filed under the name Triticum aestivum (bread wheat). RNAcentral's name for it is "partial small subunit ribosomal RNA". Lineage: Eukaryota; Viridiplantae; Streptophyta; Magnoliopsida; Poales; Poaceae. The record is from RNAcentral.